UAAGAUCCGUAGGAGAUUACCCUACAUCACCUGAAUGCAACCCAGGUACUUUAAUUAAGCUAGAACCUUC
RNAcentral lists this transfer RNA (70 nucleotides) under Glareola pratincola. RNAcentral's name for it is "tRNA-Ala". The record is from RNAcentral. Lineage: Eukaryota; Metazoa; Chordata; Aves; Charadriiformes; Glareolidae.